Molecule: ribosomal RNA, 1439 nt
Filed under: uncultured organism
Description: partial small subunit ribosomal RNA
Rfam family: Bacterial small subunit ribosomal RNA
Source: RNAcentral
CGGCGUGCUUAACACAUGCAAGUCGAACGGAAAGGCCCUGCUUUUGUGGGGUGCUCGAGUGGCGAACGGGUGAGUAACACGUGAGUAACCUGCCCUUGACUUUGGGAUAACUUCAGGAAACUGGGGCUAAUACCGGAUAGGAGCUCCUGCUGCAUGGUGGGGGUUGGAAAGUUUCGGCGGUUGGGGAUGGACUCGCGGCUUAUCAGCUUGUUGGUGGGGUAGUGGCUUACCAAGGCUUUGACGGGUAGCCGGCCUGAGGGGGUGACCGGCCACAUUGGGACUGAGAUACGGCCCAGACUCCUACGGGAGGCAGCAGUGGGGAAUAUUGCACAAUGGGCGGAAGCCUGAUGCAGCAACGCCGCGUGCGGGAUGACGGCCUUCGGGUUGUAAACCGCUUUCGCCUGUGACGAAGCGUGAGUGACGGUAAUGGGUAAAGAAGCACCGGCUAACUACGUGCCAGCAGCCGCGGUGAUACGUAGGGUGCGAGCGUUGUCCGGAUUUAUUGGGCGUAAAGGGCUCGUAGGUGGUUGAUCGCGUCGGAAGUGUAAUCUUGGGGCUUAACCCUGAGCGUGCUUUCGAUACGGGUUGACUUGAGGAAGGUAGGGGAGAAUGGAAUUCCUGGUGGAGCGGUGGAAUGCGCAGAUAUCAGGAGGAACACCAGUGGCGAAGGCGGUUCUCUGGGCCUUUCCUGACGCUGAGGAGCGAAAGCGUGGGGAGCGAACAGGCUUAGAUACCCUGGUAGUCCACGCUGUAAACGGUGGGUACUAGGUGUGGGGUUCAUUCCACGGGUUCCGUGCCGUAGCUAACGCUUUAAGUACCCCGCCUGGGGAGUACGGCCGCAAGGCUAAAACUCAAAGGAAUUGACGGGGCCCCGCACAAGCGGCGGAGCAUGCGGAUUAAUUCGAUGCAACGCGUAGAACCUUACCUGGGUUUGACAUGGAUCGGGAGUGCUCAGAGAUGGGUGUGCCUCUUUUGGGGUCGGUUCACAGGUGGUGCAUGGCUGUCGUCAGCUCGUGUCGUGAGAUGUUGGGUUAAGUCCCGCAACGAGCGCAACCCUUGUUCACUGUUGCCAGCACGUUAUGGUGGGGACUCAGUGGAGACCGCCGGGGUCAACUCGGAGGAAGGUGGGGAUGACGUCAAGUCAUCAUGCCCCUUAUGUCCAGGGCUUCACGCAUGCUACAAUGGCUGGUACAGAGAGUGGCGAGCCUGUGAGGGUGAGCGAAUCUCGGAAAGCCGGUCUCAGUUCGGAUUGGGGUCUGCAACUCGACCUCAUGAAGUCGGAGUCGCUAGUAAUCGCAGAUCAGCAACGCUGCGGUGAAUACGUUCCCGGGGCUUGUACACACCGCCCGUCAAGUCAUGAAAGUUGGUAACACCCGAAGCCGGUGGCCUAACCGUUGUGGGGGAGCCGUCGAAGGUGGGACUGGUGAUUAGGACUAAGA